Pelobates cultripes (western spadefoot toad) is the source of this 293-nucleotide non-coding RNA. The record is from the annotation of a GenBank genome assembly. NCBI's taxonomy places the organism in Eukaryota, Metazoa, Chordata, Amphibia, Anura, Pelobatidae.
CUAGGUCUCCCCGUGUUCCCAGGUCUCCCCGUCUUCCUAGUGUCCUAGUGACAUGGGGACCUUGGGAUACAUGGGGACCAAGGGAGACAUGGGGCAUUGAGAUACUUAUACAUAGGAUCAGUGGGAGACCUGGGGACACUGGGAGACAUGGGGCACUGAGACACUGAUACAUAGGAACACUGAGACCUGGAGUAAUCGACACAUGGGGGCACUGAGUCAUGAGGGCACUGGGAGACAUGGGGGCACUGGGAGGAAUCCAUCUAUACAGCAGAUUUAAACUCUGUAGUUUUUUG